This 472-nucleotide ribosomal RNA is filed under the name uncultured bacterium. Its description in RNAcentral is "bacterial SSU rRNA". It matches the Rfam family "Bacterial small subunit ribosomal RNA", at positions 23 to 518 of the family's 1533-position model. The record is from RNAcentral.
CUCAGAACGAACGCUGGCGGCAUGGAUUAGGCAUGCAAGUCGAACGGUGGUAGCAAUACACAGUGGCGGAAGGGUGAGGAACACGUGAAUAAUCUGCCCUCAAAGUUGGGAAUAACUUUUCCGAAAGGAAAGGCUAAUACCGAAUGUGGUUGUUUUAUCGCAUGAUAGGACACUAAAGAUUUAUCGCUUGAGGAUGAGUUCGCGUCCCAUUAGCUAGUUGGCGGGGUAACGGCCCACCAAGGCAGAGAUGGGUAGCUGGUCUGAGAGGAUGAUCAGCCACACUGGGACUGAGACACUGCCCAGACUCCUACGGGAGGCUGCAGUCGAGAAUCUUUUGCAAUGCGCGAAAAAGCGUGACAAAGCAAUGCCGCGUGCCGGAUGAAGGUCUUCGGAUUGUAAACGGCUGUCACUCGGGACGAAAAAUGACGGUACCGAGGGAGGAAGCCACGGCUAACUACGUGCCAGCCGCGGC